Long non-coding RNA from Equus caballus (horse), 4851 nucleotides. The record is from Ensembl. NCBI's taxonomy places the organism in Eukaryota, Metazoa, Chordata, Mammalia, Perissodactyla, Equidae.
CUCCGUCACACUUCACUGGAAAAAUAGACUCCAUCACACCAGAACUCCUUGUCAUCCCACUAUCAAAAUUUCUCCCUCCCUGCAUCUGGACUCAUGCCGUCAGCUGGCCUCCUCUCAUUCUAGAUGCCUGUCCCUGCUCCCAUCCACAGUCAAGAUGUUCAACUUUCUUCUGGCUCCCGUUGGAUAUUUGUACAACAAACAGCCUUGGAAGAUGGAGGUGAUAUGUACCCCCUGAAGCAAAGGUGCGUGUUUGUGGGGAGGGCAUGUGCCUCCUCAUCCGCCAGACCCUGAGCCUCCCCGAUGCUCCUGAUGCUGUGAGUGCGAGACCUGUACACUGAAACCACCACACUGCCGAGGGAACCCAGUGAAGACUGAACAAAUGGAAAGCGAGGCCGUGUUCAUGGACUGGACAACGCAGUAUUAUCAAGAUGACCGGAUGCUGCGGUAAAUGAGCCCUGCCCUCAUAAUGCGCACAGUCCAGCUGGCUGUGCCCGCCUCAUGAAUUGUUGGAAGAAUUCACCAAAACAAUGUGCUGAAUGCAGGCCCUCAGCCCAGCCUGGCGUAAGGACUGUUGGGGAAUGCAGCAGUCAUCUCUUCUCAUCAUCAUCAUCACUCUCCUCUCUUCAACGCUCUCCCUCCUAUGGCACACAAAAUGGACGUUUCCACAAAUGAUGAUGCCCAGGAAGCCCAAAGACAGGGAACUUGUGCUUUCAAUCAAGAGUGAAUCUUUUGGGACAAAGAAAGUGAAGAACUGUCUGGAAAAAAAAAAGAGCAUUUCAAGCACACCUCACCAGUGCUAUAAUCACUUAAAACAGUUAGGUCAACCAUGAAAUUAACAAGGAGCAGAAAUCUGUGUUCCUUCCACUCAGAUCUCUGUGGCUGGGCUUCACGCUUACCAAGAUAAACGUCUUCCAUGAUCACACUGUGCCACCAAGGAGAGUGUCUCUUCUUGGAGAUAAUAUUCUCAUUAACGCUAGACAAACAGAAUGCAGCCUUCGGCAGCAGUCCCGGCCCCAACAAGCUGAUUGUGUGACAGUCUGCUGCCUAUGGAGAAGCCUGGGCAGGGGGCAAGGACAGAGGUCUUCUCCAUGCGGCUUUGCCCUUCAGGCAGCCCACCCCACCCAGCCCGACCAUGCACCUGGGCUCUGCCUCCAACCUCUGAUUUCCCGGGCCCAUGCCAUCCCCCUCCACUACGUGUCCUGGGGACCUGUCUUAAGCCUUCCGCCUGUGCAAAUACCCUGGGAUAAUUGGCAUGGCCUCCACCUGCACACCUAAAAUGGGAUAGGUGACACCUCCUCCUAAAUAAGGCACUCACAAAAUUUCGUUAUUACUGAAAGACUUGGAAGAUAAGUAAUGAAACUAUUUUUACAUUGAAACACAGCCAAGAAUGCAACAUCACGGUCCCUCCAGGUCUUCAACCCAUGACCCCAGUACCUCUACAUGUAUUGACGAACUCACUCCUCCUGCCAGGGCCUGAGCCUGCUGCAUAAAUCACAGCUUCCAGCUUGACAUCGAGGGCCCUCCACCUGCCCCCUUCGCCUCCUCCAUCACUCCCGGAAGUGCUACUCCCAGACACUGCUCUCGGCCCCCUGUUGCUCCCAAACAGGCCUUACCCUUCUCUGCCUCUGAAACCUGGAGCAUCGUCCAUCCUGAUUCAUUAUACUAAGUAUAAGAGACUCCUCAUCCUUAAAGGGGAGCAGCAUAUGCUGCUGGCCCUCUAUGUGCUUACAUCAGUCAGCAUGGGCUAAGAGGUGUUGUUGUAACAAAUGAUCCCAAAUCCUAGUGGUGUAUGACAGCAAAGGAUUGUUUCUCACCCACACCUAAAGCCCACUGCAAGUUGGUCUCAGCUCUGCUCAGCUAGGGCCUCAGAAUUUAGAAGCAGUCCAUACAUGGGACCCGCCAGUCUCCUGGACAAGGGAGAAGAUCAAUGAGAGAACAAUACGAUGGUUCCUUACUUUCCUCUUGGAAGAAGCACAGAUCACUUCCACUCAGAGUUCUUUAGUAAAAACAAGUCACAUUGCCAAGCCUGCUACCAACGGGUGGGAAGCACGAUCCUACUCGGGAGGGGCUGUUGGAGGGAUAUCAGACAUGGAAGGAAUCGUACAGUCCACAACAGGACCACUCGCUGGGCUGGUGCUUCUCUUAUGCUAACGCCUUUAGGCUCCUCCACAGAAUGCUGUGAAGAAGAUAGAAGUAAUUCCAUUUUACAGAUAUAAACAAAGGCUCUGGGACCAAGUGAGUAGUGACUCAGCGGAUGUCUGGAAUUCUCUGUGGUGAGCCCUGGGGUGCUGCAUUCCAGUACCAGUUUGGAGCCAGAGUGACCUAGGGAGUUCCAUAGGGAAUCCCAGCUCUGACCAAGUUGGACAGAGGGACACUCGAUCCUCAGGGAGACAGCACACAGAGGCAGGUGGAGUUCUCCUGGAGGCAGUCAGAUUGGUUGGAAAAGGGCAGGGUUACUCUUAGCAGGUGAGCAGGACAGCCCAUAAGGGAAUGGGGCGGCCCACAGGAGGGAAUGGGGCGGCCCACAGGAGGGAAUCGAGGGGCCCACAGGAGGGAAUGGGGCGGCCCACAGGAGGGAAUCAGGUGGCCCACAGGAGGGAAUCAGGUGGCCCACAUGUGGAUCAGCUUCGUCCUUCUGGGAGCAGCUGCUUUAGCUCUGAAGAAGCCCGUCUACGUUUCCCCUCUGAGCCUUUCUCCAGGAUGAAGGGAGGACUUACCUUCCUGGCUGACAAGGACCUUGCUCUCUCUAUUCCUAGGUUCUUCCUCCAUGAUCCUGGGCUCUCAGAAGGUGGGCUCAGCAAUCCAAGGCCAAAGGCUUUUGCUCACAGGUAUUCCCUGGUCUCUGAGGACUGAGCGUCCACUUCCCCUGAGGCCAGGUGCAGUUCAGUGAACUUCAGCAACACAGUCUUUUGCACCCACUGAGUCCAGAGUCCUCAGGCAGGGUGAGGCCCAGAGUCCUUAGUCCAGCACUACCACGAGGCUCCUUGAGCCGACCAGCGGAGAAACAAGGCUUCACAGUCUCACACAGUUGUCUUUCUGGAAGUCACUCGGUCACAGAGCUCCAGAACUGGGAGGCCUGUCAGCGACCCUAGAGUCUGACACACUCUUUCCUGCACUCCGGCUCGGAGAGAGGAAGGUCCAGAGCAAGACAUCAGCAGUUCAGAGCUGAAACAGAACUGAAGCAUACCAUGGCCCGUCCCCUCCUGGCCCAACAGUGUCUGGUCCUGUGAACAGUGAGAACCAUGCUGGGCCCCCUCAGGUGUUCACAAGGGCCAAACAUGCCGUAUGGUCAACGCCCAGCCCCAAGCACCCUCCUCCAGAAAGCUCCCUUGAACAUGUAGCAGAAUAGAGUAAGCACUGGAUUCAGAGCCACAGGUCAUGAGUUCAAGUCCUGACUCUGCCAUUCAUUGACUGUGUGAUCCUGGGGAAUUGACUUACCUCUCUGGGCAUCUAUAAAUUUGGAUUGAGGUUGCCUCCACUGCAUCGACCUCAUUUGAGGGGUGAUGGGUGACGAGAAGACUGCACUGCCCUUUCCCGUCUCCCUGGAUUCCCUACAGACUAAUUACUUCACUGGCUGUUGGGAAUUGAUGGGAGAGAAGUACUACAUUUGAUCAGUUUUGAAAUGUACACUUUACCUCAAUAUUUCAGAAAUCAGGACUUAUCUCUCCACUGGCAGUCUUAACUUUCCGUUGGCUAGGUGGCAACCCUGAAUUUAAUAUCGCUUCCUACAUGUGUCACUCCUAACAGCUUGACUGGAUGGCCUCAGCCUCUCAAUGUUUCUGUCCACAAACCCUUAAGAACCUUUGGAGGAAGAAACCAGAGUCCUGAACGGUGUCUGAAACGUUCUGCUGACACCUUCUGGUGAGAUCUAGAAAGUGCCAGCGGCAAACUUGGCAGAAUGGGAAUCAGUGGCAUGGAAUACACUCCAGAAAAAGAUGGAUGUUGCUCUCAGAAAUGCCACAUCAUCCUUGCUCCUGCUGGCACAGAGGACAGCAUAGUGUGGAAAAAUCUGGAUACUGAUGUUUCAGGGUCAGAAAGCAAACAUCAACACCUCUCUUUCUGUCUCUCUCACACACACAUACGCUCAUCCUCUGCCCUGGGAACAAGGUACCUCUCAUGACUGGGCAGAGACUUGAGCUCUCUUCUUUCUGCCUCCGGGGGCCUUUGUGACCGGGGAAGCAGCCCAGGAAUUCAUGCUAGGCAUCUUGAAGACCCAGCAGGUGCUUUCACACGUACGCCUGUUCUUUGCUUCAAACCAAAUAAAAUCCUUCAUAUUUGUAUUUGAUUAUAUUCUAAUUGCACAAAUAAUACAUGAACAUGUUCUGUUAUUUAGAACAAUGAAACUUACAGCUGCAGCAGAAGUCCUCCCACAUGGCCACCUGCUCCCCGCCACCGGGCCCAGAGCCCGCCCCAAAGAUGACGUUGGAACUGUUUGCUGCGUGCAUCUCUCCCGACAGUUUUUUGCCUAAUUUGCUUUGUUGUAAUUUGAGUUUCAUCUGAGUUAACACAAUUGGUUAACAUAAACGGUAUCCUGUAUAUUCAUGCUUUUGCAAUUUGCUUUCUCCACGUAACAAUAUAAUCUUGGGAGAACUUUCCAUAUUAAUGUAUCUAGGACGACCUCAUUUCUAAACUGCUGAAUAGUGAUAGUUUACCCUUUUCCAUGUUGAUAGACAUUUGGGUUGUUUAUUUUAUUUUACAUAUUUGUGUUGCUAUUAUAAACAAUGCAAAAUAAACAUCCUUGAACAGCCUGUUUGUAGGAAGUAGAAUUUUUUGGUUUAAGGUAUUGCACAUUUUCAUUUGAGAAGAUGUGACCAAAUUGUCCUCCCAAAAUGCUGGCCUUUUACACUCCCA